Molecule: ribosomal RNA, 2891 nt
Filed under: Pseudomonas quebecensis
Lineage: Bacteria; Pseudomonadati; Pseudomonadota; Gammaproteobacteria; Pseudomonadales; Pseudomonadaceae
Description: 23S ribosomal RNA
Rfam family: Bacterial large subunit ribosomal RNA
Source: RNAcentral
GGUCAAGUGAAGAAGCGCAUACGGUGGAUGCCUUGGCAGUCAGAGGCGAUGAAAGACGUGGUAGCCUGCGAAAAGCUUCGGGGAGUCGGCAAACAGACUUUGAUCCGGAGAUGUCUGAAUGGGGGAACCCAGCCAUCAUAAGAUGGUUAUCUUGUACUGAAUACAUAGGUGCAAGAGGCGAACCAGGGGAACUGAAACAUCUAAGUACCCUGAGGAAAAGAAAUCAACCGAGAUUCCCUUAGUAGUGGCGAGCGAACGGGGACUAGCCCUUAAGUGGCUUUGAGAUUAGCGGAACGCUCUGGAAAGUGCGGCCAUAGUGGGUGAUAGCCCUGUACGCGAAAAUCUCUUAGUCAUGAAAUCGAGUAGGACGGAGCACGAGAAACUUUGUCUGAAUAUGGGGGGACCAUCCUCCAAGGCUAAAUACUACUGACUGACCGAUAGUGAACUAGUACCGUGAGGGAAAGGCGAAAAGAACCCCGGAGAGGGGAGUGAAAUAGAUCCUGAAACCGUAUGCGUACAAGCAGUGGGAGCCCCUUUGUUGGGUGACUGCGUACCUUUUGUAUAAUGGGUCAGCGACUUAUUUUCAGUGGCGAGCUUAACCGAAUAGGGGAGGCGUAGCGAAAGCGAGUCUUAAUAGGGCGUCUAGUCGCUGGGAAUAGACCCGAAACCGGGCGAUCUAUCCAUGGGCAGGUUGAAGGUUGGGUAACACUAACUGGAGGACCGAACCGACUACCGUUGAAAAGUUAGCGGAUGACCUGUGGAUCGGAGUGAAAGGCUAAUCAAGCUCGGAGAUAGCUGGUUCUCCUCGAAAGCUAUUUAGGUAGCGCCUCAUGUAUCACUGUAGGGGGUAGAGCACUGUUUCGGCUAGGGGGUCAUCCCGACUUACCAAACCGAUGCAAACUCCGAAUACCUACAAGUGCCGAGCAUGGGAGACACACGGCGGGUGCUAACGUCCGUCGUGAAAAGGGAAACAACCCAGACCGUCAGCUAAGGUCCCAAAGUUAUGGUUAAGUGGGAAACGAUGUGGGAAGGCUUAGACAGCUAGGAGGUUGGCUUAGAAGCAGCCACCCUUUAAAGAAAGCGUAAUAGCUCACUAGUCGAGUCGGCCUGCGCGGAAGAUGUAACGGGGCUCAAACCAUACACCGAAGCUACGGGUAUCACGUAAGUGAUGCGGUAGAGGAGCGUUCUGUAAGCCUGUGAAGGUGAGUUGAGAAGCUUGCUGGAGGUAUCAGAAGUGCGAAUGCUGACAUGAGUAACGACAAUGGGUGUGAAAAACACCCACGCCGAAAGACCAAGGUUUCCUGCGCAACGUUAAUCGACGCAGGGUUAGUCGGUCCCUAAGGCGAGGCUGAAAAGCGUAGUCGAUGGAAAACAGGUUAAUAUUCCUGUACUUCUGGUUAUUGCGAUGGAGGGACGGAGAAGGCUAGGCCAGCUUGGCGUUGGUUGUCCAAGUUUAAGGUGGUAGGCUGAGAUCUUAGGUAAAUCCGGGAUCUUAAGGCCGAGAGCUGAUGACGAGUCAUCUUUUAGAUGACGAAGUGGUUGAUGCCAUGCUUCCAAGAAAAGCUUCUAAGCUUCAGGUAACCAGGAACCGUACCCCAAACCGACACAGGUGGUUGGGUAGAGAAUACCAAGGCGCUUGAGAGAACUCGGGUGAAGGAACUAGGCAAAAUGGCACCGUAACUUCGGGAGAAGGUGCGCCGGUGAGGGUGAAGGACUUGCUCCGUAAGCUCAUGCCGGUCGAAGAUACCAGGCCGCUGCGACUGUUUAUUAAAAACACAGCACUCUGCAAACACGAAAGUGGACGUAUAGGGUGUGACGCCUGCCCGGUGCCGGAAGGUUAAUUGAUGGGGUUAGCUAACGCGAAGCUCUUGAUCGAAGCCCCGGUAAACGGCGGCCGUAACUAUAACGGUCCUAAGGUAGCGAAAUUCCUUGUCGGGUAAGUUCCGACCUGCACGAAUGGCGUAACGAUGGCGGCGCUGUCUCCACCCGAGACUCAGUGAAAUUGAAAUCGCUGUGAAGAUGCAGUGUAUCCGCGGCUAGACGGAAAGACCCCGUGAACCUUUACUAUAGCUUUGCACUGGACUUUGAAUUUGCUUGUGUAGGAUAGGUGGGAGGCUUUGAAGCGUGGACGCCAGUCUGCGUGGAGCCAUCCUUGAAAUACCACCCUGGCAACUUUGAGGUUCUAACUCAGGUCCGUUAUCCGGAUCGAGGACAGUGUAUGGUGGGUAGUUUGACUGGGGCGGUCUCCUCCUAAAGAGUAACGGAGGAGUACGAAGGUGCGCUCAGACCGGUCGGAAAUCGGUCGUAGAGUAUAAAGGCAAAAGCGCGCUUGACUGCGAGACAGACACGUCGAGCAGGUACGAAAGUAGGUCUUAGUGAUCCGGUGGUUCUGUAUGGAAGGGCCAUCGCUCAACGGAUAAAAGGUACUCCGGGGAUAACAGGCUGAUACCGCCCAAGAGUUCAUAUCGACGGCGGUGUUUGGCACCUCGAUGUCGGCUCAUCACAUCCUGGGGCUGAAGCCGGUCCCAAGGGUAUGGCUGUUCGCCAUUUAAAGUGGUACGCGAGCUGGGUUUAGAACGUCGUGAGACAGUUCGGUCCCUAUCUGCCGUGGACGUUUGAGAUUUGAGAGGGGCUGCUCCUAGUACGAGAGGACCGGAGUGGACGAACCUCUGGUGUUCCGGUUGUCACGCCAGUGGCAUUGCCGGGUAGCUAUGUUCGGAAUAGAUAACCGCUGAAAGCAUCUAAGCGGGAAACUAGCCUCAAGAUGAGAUCUCACUGGAACCUUGAGUUCCCUGAAGGGCCGUCGAAGACUACGACGUUGAUAGGUUGGGUGUGUAAGCGCUGUGAGGCGUUGAGCUAACCAAUACUAAUUGCCCGUGAGGCUUGACCAU